This is a long non-coding RNA of Triticum aestivum (bread wheat), 1861 nucleotides long. RefSeq lists it as uncharacterized. The transcript is spliced from 4 exons. The record is from RefSeq and is a predicted model, not a curated record. Lineage: Eukaryota; Viridiplantae; Streptophyta; Magnoliopsida; Poales; Poaceae.
UCUCCACCCCUUGCGUUGGCUCCACGUCACUCACUCCACCUCCCUUGGCUUCUCAUCUCCAAGAACACAGCAGGAACGCAGCGGCCAGAUUAUGGGCAGCCUGUUCCCCUUCCACUUCCACUCCUUUUCCCAACAAAUUAAGCCUCCGCUGCUUCAUCUUUUUGGUUCGCCUAUCAAAUCUGGCACCGGUGCGAGUCGCCGCCUCCCACGCCCACCAUUCCGCACCAAAUCGAUCACCGCCCAUCGACGAGCCGAGUGGCACAAGCAGAUGAGGAGACGGACUUGAUGUUGUUGCCGUCAUGAUCCUCCUGCCGUUCAACGCGGCGUGCCUCGUCGGCAAGCACACAGUGCCGGUUGCAGAGCUGCAGCCGUUGAGCGAAGAGGAAGGGGUCCCGCUAAUGCUAGAUGUUGUCCGCCUCUCGGGAACGCCGUGGGGGAAGGGUGCUGUCCGUCGCCCGCGGACCAUGCCGAGGAGCACCGUUGGGGAUCAGGAGGGACAACUUCAAUAUUCAAGUAACAGUAGGCUGCCAUAUACGGUUUGGGAUGACUUGUAUUUAUAUAUUCUUUUCCCUAUUUCAUAUUUGAAGAUGUCCUUCUCAUAGAUGCAUUCAGACUAUUGGAUCUACGAGGCAUCAGUAACAACGUUGAAUAUGAAGAGGUAUGUAUCUUUUAUUUACUGAAUUAUUCUGCACAUAAUCCUGACAACUGAUCAGACCACUUCAAGAUGUUUUGGGCAUACCACCAUACACUGCUAUUUGUCCAUUUAGAUGCUUAUUCUCCAGCUCUGUCAGUACUCUUUGGUUCAUUGAAGAAGUAACACGAAACCCAUUAUAUCCGCCAAGUAUAGCACGCACACUACCUUUACAAUUUGACAGUUUGGGUAGGUUAAUCAUGAAUCAAUCAGGCCUACAUCUUUUUGAUGAUGAUGUCAAACAGAUUGCGGACCAGCAGGUGCACCACAUCUAGAUGAAUGUUGCUGCGCAAGAAGCACUAAAACUAUCCAUAUGUUUAUGCUAACUUAUAUUCCAACAGACAUUCAAGGAGGCACACUUGAGCAACAAUGGGAGGAUAGAUCCUGAUGAAUGGAAAGUGUUCAGAAGUAAAAAUAUCUAACCUCGCUGAAGAACAUGACUCUCUCAUACCCAGAAUAAGGUCAUAACUAUGUCAUUCACUCUCAACAUGCGCUACCAAAUUAUUGGUAUAUGCAAUUUACGAUUUGGUCAGAGCCCACCUGUUGCAAGUGUCGGAUGAUUUUCUGCUGAUGGCAAGGUUCUAGGACGAUUCGGUGGUUCUUGCCGCAUAGUAUUAUUGCUGCUCCCAUUAAUAUACAAGUAUCUGACGAGAAAAUUUCCCGCGGGUGGCUCAAAUGGGGCUGCUGGCACCCUAUACAUGCAUACAACAGUCACACCCUGCCCUCCCUAUUUGAUCAUUCGGCUAGGUAAAUUUUGUUUCAUCCUUUGUUCAGCUUUUAAGUUCAACUAACCUAAUUUACCAUUUUUAUAGUAUCAGCAUGCAUGAGUUGAUUGGCUUAGUUUACUUUGUUUCUCCUACGGAUAGGAAAACAUCUAUGGUUUUAAGCAUGCUACCAGUUGCCUGGUACUUGGUGAGAGACCUAUGUGAUAUUAUUCUUUCAUGAAAACCUCAUUUGAACUACCUCUAUUAAGUUUGCUGCUCAAUUGAUUCUUACAAAAUGUUCCUCAGCAACGCGUGGGGAAUCAUCUAGUAUCAUUUAAAAGGAGGAGGUCAGAAAAUAAGUUCAGGAGUACAUCAUCCCAAGAACCAGGAGUUUUUGAACUAAAAAUUUGUUUUUCUAAUUCAUCAGCCACCUGGUUUGCCUCUCUGAAACAAUGUUCAAAUGAUA